Long non-coding RNA from Mugil cephalus (flathead mullet), 574 nucleotides. RefSeq lists it as uncharacterized. The transcript has 3 exons. The record is from RefSeq and is a predicted model, not a curated record. Lineage: Eukaryota; Metazoa; Chordata; Actinopteri; Mugiliformes; Mugilidae.
AUUGUAACCCAGAUGUAAAACACCAUAAAACAAGACAGAGAAGAGAGGGUGAUUAUUUUAUUAGUUUAUUUGCCCCUAUCCAAAGUUUAAAAAUUCUAAUUGCAAUUGAAUGCACCGCCCUUCUGCCCAGCCAAUCAGGCGUAACGCAGGCCACGUCCAGCUCGUGCGGUGACGUGCGUCGUUUUCCCGGUCUUUCUUUAGUCUCAGCAACGGAGUGAGGGCAGCUAUCAGGUUAGCAUCAGAGAAAGAAAAACAGAGAAAUACGAAUAAUCCUGUGGGGAAAAAAGAACAACAACAAAAAACAAAAAGCCAAUACACUUACCCACUGGAAUUCGGAGCCGAGUCACGUAGGCUAACAGGCUAACUACCUGCCUUCCAUUGGGAGAACCGCUGCGGUGCUAACAUCGGAGUCCUGGGCUUUGACAAACACAGAGCAACGGAAACAUAAAUGUGUUUGAAACGAAAACAAAACAAGGCUGGAUACGGUUCAUCAGACUCUCCAAUCAACAGUUCCUAAAGUAAACCGAAUGCUGUUCAUGAACAUUUUGAAGUUUCUAUCCCAAAAAUCAGAAUC